RNAcentral lists this ribosomal RNA (610 nucleotides) under marine bacterium A4. RNAcentral describes it as "bacterial SSU rRNA". It matches the Rfam family "Bacterial small subunit ribosomal RNA", at positions 50 to 708 of the family's 1533-position model. The record is from RNAcentral.
UACACAUGCAGUCGACGGAUCCUUCGGGAUUAGUGGCAGACGGGUGAGUAACGCGUGGGAAGCUACCUUGUGGUAGGGGACAACAGUUGGAAACGACUGCUAAUACCCUAUGAGCCCUAUGGGGGAAAGAUUUAUCGCCAUGAGAUGUGCCCGCGUUAGAUUAGCUAGUUGGUAAGGUAAUGGCUUACCAAGGCGACGAUCUAUAGCUGGUCUGAGAGGAUGAUCAGCCACACUGGGACUGAGACACGGCCCAGACUCCUACGGGAGGCAGCAGUGGGGAAUAUUGGACAAUGGGGGCAACCCUGAUCCAGCCAUGCCGCGUGUGUGAUGACGGCCUUAGGGUUGUAAAGCACUUUCAGCAGUGAAGAUAAUGACAUUAACUGCAGAAGAAGCCCCGGCUAACUUCGUGCCAGCAGCCGCGGUAAUACGAAGGGGGCUAGCGUUGUUCGGAAUCACUGGGCGUAAAGAGUACGUAGGCGGACUGAUAAGUUAGGGGUGAAAUCCCAAGGCUCAACCUUGGAACUGCCUUUGAUACUGUCAGUCUUGAGAUCGAGAGAGGUGAGUGGAACUCCGAGUGUAGAGGUGAAAUUCGUAGAUAUUCGGAAGAACA